AACGAACGCUGGCGGCAGGCCUAACACAUGCAAGUCGAACGCUCGUAGCAAUACGAGAGUGGCAGACGGGUGAGUAACACGUGGGAACCUUCCCUAUGGUUCGGAAUAGCUCAGGGAAACUUGGGGUAAUACCGGAUAAGCCCUUCGGGGAAAGGAUUAUCGCCAUUGGAUGGGCCCGGCCGUCGGAUUAGUCUAGUUGGUGAGGUAACGGCUCACCAAGGCGAACGAUCCGUAGCUGGUCUGAGAGGAUGAUCAGCCACACUGGGA
This 267-nucleotide ribosomal RNA is filed under the name uncultured bacterium. RNAcentral's name for it is "partial 16S ribosomal RNA". It matches the Rfam family "Bacterial small subunit ribosomal RNA", at positions 29 to 318 of the family's 1533-position model. The record is from RNAcentral.